UUUGGCCAUGAUGACCCACUUGCCCUCCCUGAGAACAGAGUUCGGUAAUGGGAAUCUUUAUUUAUUUAUUUUUUAAUGGAGUCACA
This is a small nucleolar RNA of Spermophilus dauricus (Daurian ground squirrel), 86 nucleotides long. NCBI's taxonomy places the organism in Eukaryota, Metazoa, Chordata, Mammalia, Rodentia, Sciuridae. The record is from Ensembl.